Molecule: RNA transcript, 3392 nt
Organism: Mangifera indica (mango)
Lineage: Eukaryota; Viridiplantae; Streptophyta; Magnoliopsida; Sapindales; Anacardiaceae
Gene name: probable disease resistance protein At5g63020
Exons: 3
Source: RefSeq, a predicted model, not a curated record
UUUCGAUUCUGCAGUAUCUUGUCCUGUCUACGUUGAAAUCGUCGAUGGGUAACUGUUUCUCAGUCUCAAUCUCUGGUGACGCCAUUCUCUCUCGCUGUCUGGAGUGUACUUUAAGAAAAGUCCGAUACGUAAGUGAACUUGAAGAUAAUCUUGAUGCCUUGCAGACUGAACUGCAGAAACUGAAGGAAAAAAGGGACGAUUUGUUGAGGAGGAUUGAGCUUGCGGAAAGAAAUGGAAAGAAACGGACGGACCAAGUGCGAGGCUGGCUUUCUAGGGUGCGAGAUGUGGAAGCUGAAGUUGGUGGACUACUAGAGACUAGAUCUCAAGAAAUCGAGAAAUUAUGUUUUGGAGGCUAUUGUUCAAAGAAUUGCAAGUCAAGCUUCAAGUGUGGGAAGAUAGUGGCUAAGAAGCUGAAACUGGUUGCUAAUUUAAAGGUUGAAGGAGAUUUCGAAGUGGUGGCGGAGAAUGUCCUAGAAUCAGUGGCGGAGGAAAGGCCUUGUGAACCUACAAUAGUGGGUUUGCAAUUAAUUUUUGAUCAAGUUUGGAGAUGUGUUGAGGAAGAAACAGUGGGAAUUAUUGGUCUCCAUGGAAUGGGGGGAGUUGGAAAAACUACCCUCUUAACCCAAAUUAACAAUAAGUGUCGUGACAUUUAUGAAAUUGUGAUUUGGGUAGUGGUGUCUAGAGAUUUGCAAGUUGAGAAGAUUCAAGAAACGAUUGGGAAAAAGAUAGGCUUAGAUGGAGAGUCGUGGAAGAACAAAAGUGUUGAUGAGAAAGCAUCGGACAUUUUUAAGAUUUUGCGCAAAAAGAAGUUUGUUGUAUUAUUAGAUGAUCUAUGGGAGAGGGUUGAUUUGAUCAAAGUGGGUAUCCCUCUUCCAAGCGUAGAAGUCGGAGGUAAAAUAGUCUUUACAACUCGUUCUCUUGAUGUUUGUGGCCUCAUGGAAGCUAACGGGAAGUUUAAAGUGGAAUGUUUAAUAGAAGAGGAAGCUUGGAAAUUGUUUGAAGGAAAGGUUGGGAGAGAAACUCUUGAUAGUGAUCCUGGUAUUUUGGAGUUGGCUAAACUUGUAGCCAAAGAAUGUGGCGGUCUACCCCUUGCACUCAUUACAAUUGGUAGAGCCAUGUCUUACAAAAAGACACCUGAAGAAUGGAAAUAUGCAAUUCAAGUGUUAAGGAGAGCCUCGUCUAAAUUUCCAGGUAUGCAGAAAGAGGUGUAUCCCCUUCUGAAGUUUAGUUAUGAUUGUUUGCCUACUGACACAAUCAGAUCAUGUCUUUUAUAUUGUAGUUUAUUUCCAGAGGACUUUAGAAUUAUGAAAACAGACUUGAUUGAUUAUUGGUUUUGUGAGAACUUUUUGGAUAUAUAUGAUCCAAGUGAAGUACAGAACCAUGGGUACGGCAUUAUUGGUGUUCUUGUUCGUGCUGGUUUAUUGGAAGAAAUAGAAGAGAGAGGAGUAUAUUUUGUAAAAAUGCAUGAUGUGAUCCGUGACAUGGCUUUGUGGAUAGCAUGUGAAAUUAAGGAGGAGCAGCAGAAAUUUUUAGUUCAGGUGGGUGUUGGAUUAACUAAAGCACCGAAGGUCAAUGAAUGGGAAGAGCUAAAGAGGAUAUCCUUGAUGGAAAACAAAAUUGAGGAAUUAUCAGUGACACCCACAUGUCCUGAUCUCUUGACUUUGUUUCUUAAUAACAAUGAGCUACGGAUGAUUAGUGGUAGCUUUUUUCAAUUCAUGCCUUCCCUCAAAGUCUUAAACCUAUCAAAUAAUCACUCUUUAAAACAAUUACCAUCUGGGAUUUCAAAUUUGGUUUCACUGCAACAUCUUGAUCUAUCAAGAUCCGGAAUAAUAGAGUUACCAAUGGAAUUAAAAGCCUUAGUAAAGCUUAAAUGUUUAAGCCUGGAGAAUACACAGAGCCUACGAAAAAUUCCAAGACAACUGAUAUCCCAUUUUUUAGAAUUACAUAUACUGAGAAUGACUGGCUGCGGUUCUGAUCAAGAAGUGGGAGAAGAUAGUGUUUUGUCUGGUGGUGGAGAAAAAUUGGUGGAGGAAUUGCUUGGUUUGGAAUCUUUAAAUGUGCUGAGUAUCACCUUAAAAAGUGGUCAUGCACUCCAAACAUUUCUGAGCUCCAACAAGUUUCAGAAUUCUACUCAUGGUCUAACGCUUGGACGCCUUGAUGAUUCUAAGAUGCUCAAUGUUUUGGCUUUAGCAGAUCUCAAGCAUCUUCAGAAACUAGAUAUUAAAAAGUGUGAAGAUUUGGAAGAGUUGAAGAUGGAGCAUUUAAUGGUAGGACAAAAAACAAGAGAACCUUACAAUUUCUUCAGUCUUAGCAUCGUUACAAUAGCUGCUUGCUCUAGAAUAAGAGACUUGACAUGGCUGGUUUUUGUGCCAAAUCUCAAGCAACUUUUUGUGAUGGCUUGUAAUAAGCUGGAAGAAAUUAUAAGCGAUAGAAAAUUAGGUGAAGAAUUCCCGGAACUGAUGGAAAAUCUAAACCUUUUUGCAAAACUUCACUUUUUAUGGAUAUUCCAUCUACCAAAUUUGAAGAGCAUUUAUUGGAAGGCCUUGCCCUUACCAAAUCUGAGUAAUUUUCAUGUAUUGGACUGCCCAAACCUUAGGAAGCUUCCACUUGAUUCCAACAGUGCAAAGGGACAGAAAAUCAUUAUAACUGGAGGAGGAAACUGGUGGGAAGGACUCGAAUGGGAGAGUGAAGCUGCUCAAAAUGCUUUUCUUCCUUGUUUCCAAUCUUAUUAAACAGGGGUAGAUUUGGCAGCCAGUUUCAAAAAUGAUCUCUGCCCUUUUGUUUGUUGUGUCAUACUCUUGGAUUGCUUAUGGCUGGUGUAGGGAGCUGGUUAGUUACUUGGAAAAUUUUCUCCAGUAAUCAAGAUUCAAAGUUCCAUUUGGGAGUUCUGAUUUUCUUCUCUUCUACAUGACAUUAUGGAAUUUGUGAGCUUCUGACAACUUAUCUUGGAAUUGUCACUGUGGAUUUAGGUUGGACAUUCGAAAGAUCAUGGUGACUGCCUUUUACAUUCUAGUACUACUUUCUCAUCUCUACCGUGCAAAAUCCAUGUCAGAGUCGUUGUUCCUCAGCAGACAAAGCAAUGGUAUCUUCAACAAAUACGGAGGAAAAUGAACGAGCAAAAGCCAGUCAGAGAUCAUGCCACCAAUGUGCUUGGUAACUCAGUAGCCUGACCACUGUCUGCUUUAAAUAGGGUCUCUGUGAGCCUGAUUGGAAGUCAUCAGUAAUGAGAAGAUUGUGUGUUAUUUGAUUAUCUCUUUUCUUCAUUUCCUCUGUGCCUGCAUUCUCGCGUGCUUUACUAUGCGAGAAGCAAAUACGUUAGAAUCAGUUGGUUGUAAGUCUUGUGUUUAAGAAUUAACAUUUUGGGCAGCAUGGCCUGUUUUUUCGGUUGUUAA